GUGUCAGCCGCCGCGGUAAUACGUAGGGUGCGAGCGUUGUCCGGAAUUAUUGGGCGUAAAGAGCUUGUAGGCGGUUUGUCGCGUCUGCCGUGAAAAUCCGGGGCUCAACCCCGGACUUGCGGUGGGUACGGGCAGACUAGAGUGUGGUAGGGGAGACUGGAAUUCCUGGUGUAGCGGUGAAAUGCGCAGAUAUCAGGAGGAACACCGAUGGCGAAGGCAGGUCUCUGGGCCACUACUGACGCUGAGAAGCGAAAGCGUGGGGAGCGAACAGGAUUAGAUACCCUGGUAGUCCACGCCGUAAACGUUGGGAACUAGGUGUGGGUCUCAUUCCACGAGAUCUGUGCCGCAGCUAACGCAUUAAGUUCCCCGCCUGGGGAGUACGGCCGCAAGGCUAAA
Molecule: ribosomal RNA, 396 nt
Filed under: uncultured bacterium
Lineage: Bacteria
Description: bacterial SSU rRNA
Rfam family: Bacterial small subunit ribosomal RNA
Source: RNAcentral